RNAcentral lists this ribosomal RNA (1343 nucleotides) under uncultured bacterium. RNAcentral's name for it is "16S ribosomal RNA". It matches the Rfam family "Bacterial small subunit ribosomal RNA", at positions 28 to 1378 of the family's 1533-position model. The record is from RNAcentral.
GACGAACGCUGGCGGCGUGCUUAACACAUGCAAGUCGAACGGAAAGGCCCUGCUUUUGUGGGGUGCUCGAGUGGCGAACGGGUGAGUAACACGUGAGUAACCUGCCCUUGACUUUGGGAUAACUUCAGGAAACUGGGGCUAAUACCGGAUAGGAGCUCCUGCUGCAUGGUGGGGGUUGGAAAGUUUCGGCGGUUGGGGAUGGACUCGCGGCUUAUCAGCUUGUUGGUGGGGUAGUGGCUUACCAAGGCUUUGACGGGUAGCCGGCCUGAGAGGGUGACCGGCCACAUUGGGACUGAGAUACGGCCCAGACUCCUACGGGAGGCAGCAGUGGGGAAUAUUGCACAAUGGGCGGAAGCCUGAUGCAGCAACGCCGCGUGCGGGAUGACGGCCUUCGGGUUGUAAACCGCUUUCGCCUGUGACGAAGCGUGAGUGACGGUAAUGGGUAAAGAAGCACCGGCUAACUACGUGCCAGCAGCCGCGGUGAUACGUAGGGUGCGAGCGUUGUCCGGAUUUAUUGGGCGUAAAGGGCUCGUAGGUGGUUGAUCGCGUCGGAAGUGUAAUCUUGGGGCUUAACCCUGAGCGUGCUUUCGAUACGGGUUGACUUGAGGAAGGUAGGGGAGAAUGGAAUUCCUGGUGGAGCGGUGGAAUGCGCAGAUAUCAGGAGGAACACCAGUGGCGAAGGCGGUUCUCUGGGCCUUUCCUGACGCUGAGGAGCGAAAGCGUGGGGAGCGAACAGGCUUAGAUACCCUGGUAGUCCACGCUGUAAACGGUGGGUACUAGGUGUGGGGUCCAUUCCACGGGUUCCGUGCCGUAGCUAACGCUUUAAGUACCCCGCCUGGGGAGUACGGCCGCAAGGCUAAAACUCAAAGGGAUUGACGGGGCCCCGCACAAGCGGCGGAGCAUGCGGAUUAAUUCGAUGCAACGCGUAGAACCUUACCUGGGUUUGACAUGGAUCGGGAGCGCUCAGAGAUGGGUGUGCCUCUUUUGGGGUCGGUUCACAGGUGGUGCAUGGCUGUCGUCAGCUCGUGUCGUGAGAUGUUGGGUUAAGUCCCGCAACGAGCGCAACCCUUGUUCACUGUUGCCAGCACGUUAUGGUGGGGACUCAGUGGAGACCGCCGGGGUCAACUCGGAGGAAGGUGGGGAUGACGUCAAGUCAUCAUGCCCCUUAUGUCCAGGGCUUCACGCAUGCUACAAUGGCUGGUACAGAGAGUGGCGAGCCUGUGAGGGUGAGCGAAUCUCGGAAAGCCGGUCUCAGUUCGGAUUGGGGUCUGCAACUCGACCUCAUGAAGUCGGAGUCGCUAGUAAUCGCAGAUCAGCAACGCUGCGGUGAAUACGUUCCCGGG